RNAcentral lists this long non-coding RNA (564 nucleotides) under Physcomitrium patens. Its description in RNAcentral is "long non-coding RNA (PPAT_LNC006430)". The record is from RNAcentral. Lineage: Eukaryota; Viridiplantae; Streptophyta; Bryopsida; Funariales; Funariaceae.
AUAUAUGUGUUGAGUCGAUACAACCCUAGACGCCUCAGUACGAAGUGCAACCAUUCCAUGAGCUCUGGUGUAAUUACGUCAAUCGUCCGCUAACCUUGAUUCUUCUCAAACGAUGAAAUGCCACUUUUGAAAUAACUUCCCGGUCGGAAGUCACUGGACUCCUCAACAUCCAUCGCAAUCUCUCAAACUGGAAGAAACAAUACUUUUUCGAGGAUCUUUUCAUCAAUACCGAUAACACGCCUUUUACUACGCUCGAUCCAUCCUAUGGGUCAUAGUUUGUGAUGUAUUCUUCCACUAAUGCCACAUUAAUUGAAGGCAAACUAUCUGACCUUUGUAAAAAUUGAAACAUUUGCACGUUUCAAAAAUCUCGUAUUCUCCUUGGCAUCCAGCAAAUCUCUAGCUUCAUAGGCUCCAUAUUGGUAACGAUUACUACGGAUGGUGGUCCUAAAUUACGUUUAGCUUUCACAUUUCGGCCACUUUCUUCUUUGUCCGUAGCUCUCUUUGUACUCUCCAUCGCCAUAACGCACACUCUUUCAAGCUCUAACUGUCAAUACUAUGCUCCAG